Molecule: ribosomal RNA, 253 nt
Filed under: uncultured bacterium
Lineage: Bacteria
Description: partial 16S ribosomal RNA
Rfam family: Bacterial small subunit ribosomal RNA
Source: RNAcentral
UACGAAGGGGGCUAGCGUUGCCCGGAAUUACUGGGCGUAAAGGGCGCGUAGGCGGCCAGUUUAGUCAGAGGUGAAAGCCCAGGGCUCAACCUUGGAAAUGCCUUUGAUACUGACUGUCUUGAGUUCGGGAGAGGUGAGUGGAAUGCCGAGUGUAGAGGUGAAAUUCGUAGAUAUUCGGCGGAACACCAGUGGCGAAGGCGGUUCUCUGGGACGGUACUGACGCUGAGACGCGAAAGCGUGGGGAGCGAACAGG